Long non-coding RNA from Solanum tuberosum (potato), 1103 nucleotides. RefSeq lists it as uncharacterized. The transcript has 3 exons. NCBI's taxonomy places the organism in Eukaryota, Viridiplantae, Streptophyta, Magnoliopsida, Solanales, Solanaceae. The record is from RefSeq and is a predicted model, not a curated record.
GACAAAUGUUAUACCUCUCUCAUAGCUUUAUUCACUUCAACAGUGCUCUCUCUCUCAUCAUAAGAGAAGAUUUGGUCAAUACAAGAAGCCAAAAAGCUUUUUGAUUUUGAUUUUUUUGGGCAAAGUUUCAGUGUUCAAACGCUUCUGUUUGUGGAAUCCAAAAUCAUCUCGUGACGGCUGAAUUUGAAUUUCAAAAGAUGAGACCUUAACCCCAAUUUUUUUGUCUAUAAAUACAUCUCAAUCUCUCAUCCAAUAGCACCCUGGAAACAUUGGAAAAUUUUCAUCAUUUCAUUAUCAAAAUACUUUCUCAAAGGCUUGAACACUCACAAUAACACCACUCUUUUACAUUUCAAUAUCAUCUUACGAAAACAUCUUUUACUCUACUCUCUAUUGCUUGACUUUGUCAGAGGAACGACUUAAGAUCCUUGAUCAACGACCUCAGUUCACUGCCCACAAACGUUGUAGACAGUUGCAGCAUCAAACGGUUUAUCAGUAAAAUUGGUCUCGACACACUGUGUGGUAAUCUCUCUCAAUCUCCAUUGAGUCUAAGUAGCCGAGACCAAUUUUACUGAUAUUCCUGCAAUUUCUAAAAGCUUCAAUGGUGCAUCUGUGGUUGAGAUCUAUGAGACAUCGAUGGGUGAUCAUUUUGCCUCACCUAGAGGUGGCGUCUUGAACCUGCAUGUAGACGACGCGAAGCAGAAGGUAUUUAUGAGAGGGAAUGUUGUGGCAGUCAUGGAAGGUUCUCUUCUAGUUUAAUGUCACAGUUCACAUCCAUGAUCUUUAUUCAUCUGCCACUAUCACAAAACUUUAAUAAUAUGUUGGAAGUAUGUGUCUAAAAUUUCUAAAUUGGUUUUUGGUAUGUACUUCACAAUGACUUUUUAAACAUCUUCAGUUUCUCAACCAUCAUCAGUUCAUUAGCCUACAAGUAGUGCUCGUGUCUUGUUAAUUUUGAAAUUGUGGGAAGCUACUCUUUUUAGGAUGAUAUUUCAGGUGUUUGGUUUUCAUUAUGGGUAAACUACAUAAAUCCCACAAGUUUAGAUCCUAAUUACUAGGAAUCUCGAUAGUUUUUGAUAUUACAUUCUAUACCAUUUUCGGCUAUUGGA